RNAcentral lists this ribosomal RNA (507 nucleotides) under Eupholus geoffroyi. Its description in RNAcentral is "partial 16S ribosomal RNA". It matches the Rfam family "Bacterial large subunit ribosomal RNA", at positions 1859 to 2622 of the family's 2925-position model. The record is from RNAcentral. Lineage: Eukaryota; Metazoa; Arthropoda; Insecta; Coleoptera; Curculionidae.
CUGCCCAAUGAGGAAUUAAAUGGCCGCGGUACUUUGACCGUGCAAAGGUAGCAUAAUCAUUAGUUUUUUAAUUGAAAGCUGGUAUGAAAGGUUGGAUGAGAAAAUAGCUGUCUCUAUUUAAAUUAUUUAGAAUUUUAUCUUUAAGUAAGAAAGCUUAAAUUUUAAUUGAAGACGAGAAGACCCUAUAGAGUUUUAUAAAUUUUAGUUUAAGGAAACUUAAGAAUUAACAAAUUUUUAAAUUAAAAUCUAUUUAGUUGGGGCGAUUGAAAAAUUUAAUAAACUUUUUUUAUUAAUUUAAACAUUAAUUUAUGAUUAGAUGAUCCUUAUUUAAAGAUUAAAAGAAAAAAUUACCUUAGGGAUAACAGCGUAAUUUUUUUAAAGAGUUCAAAUCGAAAAAAAAGAUUGCGACCUCGAUGUUGGAUUAAAAUAAAAUUUUGGUGUAGGAGCUAAAUAAUUUGGGUCUGUUCGACCCUUAAAAUUUUACAUGAUCUGAGUUUAAACCGGUGU